This 498-nucleotide ribosomal RNA is filed under the name uncultured bacterium. RNAcentral's name for it is "partial 16S ribosomal RNA". It matches the Rfam family "Bacterial small subunit ribosomal RNA", at positions 28 to 507 of the family's 1533-position model. The record is from RNAcentral.
GACGAACGCUGGCGGCGUGCCUAAUACAUGCAAGUCGAGCGGACGGAUGGGAGCUUGCUCCCCGUCCGUCAGCGGCGGACGGGUGAGUAACACGUUGGCACCCUGCCUGUAAUACUGUGAUAACUCCGGGAAACCGGGUCUAAUACCUGCUAACUCUUUCCCUCACAUGAGGGAAAGCUGAAAGAUGGCAUCUCGCUAUCACUUACAGAUGGGCCCGCUUCGCAUUAGCUAGUUGGUGAGGUAACGGCUCACCAAGGCGACGAUGCGUAGCCGACCUGAGAGGGUGAUCGGCAACACUGGGACUGAGACACGGCCCAGACUCCUACGGGAGGCAGCAGUAGGGAAUAUUCCGCAAUGGACGAAAGUCUGACGGAGCAACGCCGCGUGAGUGAUGAAGGUUUUCGGAUCGUAAAACUCUGUUGUCAGGGAAGAACAAGUACCGGAGUAACUGCCGGUAUCUUGACGGUACCUGAACAGAAAGCCACGGCUAACUACGUG